GAUUAAUUAUUCUUUGCAAGAAAGCCGUUCUUUUUCAAGUUCCCUUUACCAGGUUCCUAACUUUUCUUCUUGAAUAAGAAAAGAAGAAAGUUCUGGUGUUACAUAAUGUCAAAUGGAGACAAACGAAGAAAAAUAGGAGAGAUUUAGAGACUAGUUAUCAAAAAUGAACCCUCAACGGAUUCCGUUUUCAUGUUUCUCUGUUGGUUCUGUUACGACAACGUAACCCAGUUCGAAACCGGAGCGGUUGAUGAAAACGAAAUUCAUUAGAAACAAGCGGUAAACACUUCAUAUUCUCUUUCAUAGUUUAUUACAUCAUACCUUUUCAAGGAGUUGCUUCUUUCUUGUUAUUCUCCCACUCCACACAUAAUCAGAACGGUGUUGCCUGCACCUGAAGGAUCCCGGGUGCCUCGUGGGUGAACACAAACACUUGUUUAUCGAUCUAGAAAUAGCACUUCCGGCACCAGCAGCCACCUCUGUUCGUGCAUGUGCAGUUUCUGUCUCAACUGCUUGCAAAACGAGCCUUCUCUGAUACACCACCAAGUUCCUUUGGCUAACCGAAAGCUCACCAGGGUGACACAUUUUUCCUUGUAACCUUUCUUCUGGUUAAGAUUGUAGUAGGUAUUUUUAUUGUGAAGAGAGAGCUUGAUCAAAAGAAAAGGAAAGAAUCCGUGGUGUGUGAGAUUUUAUAAGAAGUAAAGAAAGGAAGCCUAAAUAAAAGGUGUAAAGGAGUUGUAGGUUGAUAAUUCAUUCCCGGAGAGGCCUUGCUCUUUGAUUUCUUGCAUUCGUGGGUUAUCACUAACCUGAGUAAGGUAUAUGCUUUGGCUCAUGAAACCACACCACCACCACUAAUCAAAAAACAAACGGCCUAACAAGAUAACGAAGCCGCAAAUGCAAAAGGGAAGUGGCCAAAAACUAUUCACCAGAAAAGUCAGGAGCUUCUAGCUGAAACGUGGCAUAAAGAUGCCAUGUGGCUAUGUGUGAUGAGCCUGAUUCAUGCAUGCCGCUUGUUGUGUCUCAAGUGGAAGGGUCCCAUUCGAGCCAACGGUUUGUACUUUCAUCUUUCUUUAGAAAUUUGCUUGGUUUUGAUUGGCAAAAAGUUGUUUGUUUCGAUAAUAUGGUAUGCUUAGCUU
Molecule: long non-coding RNA, 1130 nt
Organism: Populus euphratica (Euphrates poplar)
Lineage: Eukaryota; Viridiplantae; Streptophyta; Magnoliopsida; Malpighiales; Salicaceae
Exons: 2
Source: RefSeq, a predicted model, not a curated record